RNA transcript from Dendroctonus ponderosae (mountain pine beetle), 502 nucleotides. It is a transcript of the gene named signal transducer and activator of transcription 5B-like, with no coding region annotated. The transcript has 3 exons. The record is from RefSeq and is a predicted model, not a curated record. Lineage: Eukaryota; Metazoa; Arthropoda; Insecta; Coleoptera; Curculionidae.
GGACGGCCGGUCAGUUUAGUGGUGAACGACUUUAGAUCGGUAGUGUGUUGUCAAAAUUCGGAUAGUUUUCUAGUAUUUCUGUUUGAAGAAGUACUUUUAGAUGUUCUGUCGCGUUUCGGUAGUAAAGUUAUCACCUAUAUCCGCGUUGUGAAAGUUGUAAACAUGGCUCUCUGGACGAAAGCCCAGCUGCUUCCCAACGAAAGCGUAUAUUUUCAACAAAUUAAGAGCAUUUAUGGAGAACACUUCCCCAUUGAAGUGCGCCAUUAUUUGGCACAUUUCAUAGAAGAUAAAUUCUGGCACGAGCCUCUGCCCACUCCUGAUCAUCCUAGUUAUGAAGCGUUCAUCGCAAAUGUGGUCGAUCGUUUUAUUCAAGAGAUUGAAAAUAAGGCUGAAAGUACCAAUGACGCCCCCGAACAAUUUUUAAUAAAAUUAAAAUUGGCCGAGGCUGCAAAAAUGUUCAGGCUACGUUACAGGUAAGUUUUUAACUAGUUUUGUUUAUCCA